Molecule: ribosomal RNA, 467 nt
Filed under: uncultured bacterium
Lineage: Bacteria
Description: partial 16S ribosomal RNA
Rfam family: Bacterial small subunit ribosomal RNA
Source: RNAcentral
GACGAACGCUGGCGGCGUGCUUAACACAUGCAAGUCGAACGGAAAGGCCCUGCUUUUGUGGGGUGCUCGAGUGGCGAACGGGUGAGUAACACGUGAGUAACCUGCCCUUGACUUUGGGAUAACUUCAGGAAACUGGGGUUAAUACCGGAUAGGAGCUCCUGCUGCAUGGUGGGGUUGGAAAGUUUCGGCGGUUGGGGAUGGACUCGCGGGUUAUCAGCUUGGUGGUGGGGUAGUGGCUUACCAAGGCAUUGACGGAUAGCCGACCUGGGAGGGUGAACGGGCACAUGGGGACGGAGAUACGGCCCAGACUCCUACGGGAGGCAGCAGUGGGGAAUAUUGCACAAUGGGCGGGAGCCUGAUGCAGCGACGCCGCGUGCGGGAUGACGGCCUUCGGGUUGUAAACCGCUUUCGCCUGUGACGAAGCGUGAGUGACGGUAAUGGGUAAAGAAGCACCGGCUAACUACGUG